This 38-nucleotide non-coding RNA is filed under the name Trypanosoma brucei brucei. The record is from RNAcentral. Lineage: Eukaryota; Euglenozoa; Kinetoplastea; Trypanosomatida; Trypanosomatidae.
GGCAAUCGUGGAUUAGUAUAGUGAUGUAAAGUGAAUAU